UCUUGCAGAUAUUUGACGCUUAAUUUUUUUUUUGUUUUUGGUAAUUGUACAACACAUGUUUAAACUUGAGUUAUUGUGGAAUUGUUUUUUAUAUUGCAUCGCAAAACAAAUGAUUCUGGUUGUAUUAUCGUGAAUUAUUAUUUUUUCCAUGGAAUUGUUUUGUUUACAUUGCAACGCAAAAUAAAUAAUUCUGGUUGUAAUAUCGUGGAAUUAUUUCUCCCGUUGCAACGCACGGGCAUGAUCCUAUCAACAAAUAAAGACAAGAAGCUAGCUAUUCUUCUCUCUCAUUCAUAAAACAUACAUACAUGUUGAUAAAUAUAUUGAAAAAUUUAUAAAGAGAGAGAGACAUAAAUUAGAAAACCUAAGUAUAGCAUAACUAUAUAAAUACAACAUUCAUUAUAAAUAGAU
Molecule: long non-coding RNA, 408 nt
Filed under: Sorghum bicolor (sorghum)
Lineage: Eukaryota; Viridiplantae; Streptophyta; Magnoliopsida; Poales; Poaceae
Description: long non-coding RNA (SBIC_LNC007658)
Source: RNAcentral